GAAAAUAUUAGGCUGUUUUUAAAAAAAAUUUCUUAUAUAAAACCAAAAUCUGUCUCUCUAUAAUUUACAUCCAUUGUUUCUGAUUCCGCUUUCUGGGAUCAAAUCUAUUCCCUUUCUUCCAUAACAGUCUUCCAGACACUUGAAGACAGCUAUCAUAUUCCCCGGUCUUUUCCUUUCCAGACUAAACAGCGUAAGUUCCUUCAACCUCAUCCUUCCUGUUAGCAAACAGCAGAUCAUCAGAAGCAAAACAUAUAACACAAAUGGAAUUUGUGGGAUAAUGAUCAAAAUGUGGUGGGAUUUAAGCUUUGGAGGCAGGAGAUCUCCUGUGAUUUGCACUGACUCUGACAGGCUGAGCCAGGUUGCCCAUUCCAUCCAGCCAAGCAGAGAAAGGAAUUGUGACAACUUGCUAUCUUAACAAGAUCUUGGAAAUAGGGGAUCCAGCAUCAUUUCCUUCUCAGGAACCUCUGAUUUGUUCAAGUAUGUUUGAACUGUCUGUAUGUGCUUUUGUCUGGACAAGAGAUGCAGAAAGGACAUUGUGUAAGUGCAGGGAAAACUGAUAGAAAGAUGGCGCUUUCCCUUCUCAACAGUGGGUGCCCAUACUGAUAGGAAAAUUGAGGACAGUUUAUAUCCCACUGGACAUGGAGAAAAGAAGCAGGAUAGAUUCAGGCAGUUU
Molecule: long non-coding RNA, 673 nt
Filed under: Phascolarctos cinereus (koala)
Lineage: Eukaryota; Metazoa; Chordata; Mammalia; Diprotodontia; Phascolarctidae
Description: lncRNA (ENSPCIG00000036203.1)
Source: RNAcentral